UAGUCAGCAUUAGGGUUUUAAACCCUAAACGGAAUUUUCCUUUUAGCCAGCAUUAGGGUUUUAAACCCUAAACUGAGCUUUUCCAUGCAAUCAGCAUUAGGGUUUUAAACCCUAAACUGAAUUUUCCCUUUAGUCAGCAUUAGGGGUUUUAAACCCUAAACUGAACUUUUUCCUUUCAGCCAGCAUUAGGGUUUUAAACCCUAAACUGAGCUUUUCCAUGCAAUCAACAUUAGGGUUUUAAACCCUAAACUGAAUUUUUUUUUAGUCAGCAUUAGGGUUUUAAACCCUAAACUGAACUUCUUCCUUUCAGCUAGCAUUAGGGUUUUAAACCCUAAACUGAGCUUUUCCAUGCAAUCAGCAUUAGGGUUUUAAACCCUAAACUGAAUUUUCCCUUUAGUCAGCAUUAGGGUUUUAAACCCUAAACUGAACUUUUUCCUUUCAACCAGCAUUAGGGUUUUAAACCCUAAACUGAGCUUUUCCAUGCAAUCAGCAUUAGGGUUUUAAACCCUAAACUGAAUUUUCCCUUUAGUCAGCAUUAGGGUUUUAAACCCUAAACUGAACUUUUUCCUUUCAGCCAGUAUUAGGGUUUUAAACCCUAAACUGAGUUUUUUCAUGCAAUCAGCAUUAGGGUUUUAAACCCUAAACUGGAUUUUUCCUUUCAGCCAGCUUUAGGGGUUUUAAACCCUAAACUGAGUUUUUUCAUGCAAUCAGCAUUAGGGUUUUAAACCCUAAACUGAGCUUUUGCUUCCAGUCAGCGUUAGGGUUUUAAACCCUAAACUGAAUU
RNAcentral lists this long non-coding RNA (784 nucleotides) under Nicotiana tabacum (common tobacco). Its description in RNAcentral is "long non-coding RNA (NTAB_LNC015384)". The record is from RNAcentral. Lineage: Eukaryota; Viridiplantae; Streptophyta; Magnoliopsida; Solanales; Solanaceae.